Molecule: transfer RNA, 88 nt
Filed under: Sutterella wadsworthensis
Lineage: Bacteria; Pseudomonadati; Pseudomonadota; Betaproteobacteria; Burkholderiales; Sutterellaceae
Also listed under: 1 other name
Description: tRNA-Ser
Rfam family: tRNA
About the family: Transfer RNA (tRNA) molecules are approximately 80 nucleotides in length. Their secondary structure includes four short double-helical elements and three loops (D, anti-codon, and T loops).
Source: RNAcentral
GGAAGGAUGGCAGAGCGGUUGAAUGCACCGGUCUUGAAAACCGGCAAUGAGCAAUCAUUCGUGGGUUCAAAUCCCACUCCUUCCGCCA